GACGGGGGGGGCAAGUGUUCUUCGGAAUGACUGGGCGUAAAGGGCGCGUAGGCGGCCUUCUAAGUCGAACGUGAAAUCCCCGGGCUCAACCCGGGAACUGCGUCCGAUACUGGAAGGCUUGAAUCCGGGAGAGGGAUGUGGAAUUCCAGGUGUAGCGGUGAAAUGCGUAGAUAUCUGGAGGAACACCGGUGGCGAAGGCGACAUCCUGGACCGGUAUUGACGCUGAGGCGCGAAAGCCAGGGGAGCAAACGGG
RNAcentral lists this ribosomal RNA (253 nucleotides) under uncultured bacterium. RNAcentral describes it as "partial 16S ribosomal RNA". It matches the Rfam family "Bacterial small subunit ribosomal RNA", at positions 524 to 776 of the family's 1533-position model. The record is from RNAcentral.